This 468-nucleotide ribosomal RNA is filed under the name uncultured bacterium. RNAcentral's name for it is "partial 16S ribosomal RNA". It matches the Rfam family "Bacterial small subunit ribosomal RNA", at positions 28 to 507 of the family's 1533-position model. The record is from RNAcentral.
GACGAACGCUGGCGGCGUGCUUAACACAUGCAAGUCGAACGGAAAGGCCCUGCUUUUGUGGGGUGCUCGAGUGGCGAACGGGUGAGUAACACGUGAGUAACCUGCCCUUGACUUUGGGAUAACUUCAGGAAACUGGGGCUAAUACCGGAUAGGAGCUCCUGCUGCAUGUUGGGGGUUGGAAAGUUUCGGCGGUGGGGGAUGGACUCGCGGUUUAUCAGCUUGUUGGUGGGGUAGUGGCUUACCAAGGCUUUGACGGGUAGCCGGCCUGAGAGGGUGACCGGCCACAUUGGGACUGCGAUACGGCCCAGAAUCCUACGGGAGGCAGCAGUGGGGAAUAUUGCACAAUGGGCGGAAGCCUGAUGCAGCAACGCCGCGUGCGGGAUGACGGCCUUCGGGUUGUAAACCGCUUUCGCCUGUGACGAAGCGUGAGUGACGGUAAUGGGUAAAGAAGCACCGGCUAACUACGUG